GAUGAACGCUAGCGACAGGCUUAACACAUGCAAGUCGAGGGGCAGCACAGGGUAGCAAUACUUGGGUGGCGACCGGCGCACGGGUGAGUAACGCGUAUCCAACCUUCCGUACACUCAGGGAUAGCCUUUCGAAAGAAAGAUUAAUACCUGAUGGUAUCUUAAGCACACAUGUAAUUAAGAUUAAAGAUUUAUCGGUGUACGAUGGGGAUGCGUUCCAUUAGGUAGUAGGCGGGGUAACGGCCCACCUAGCCAACGAUGGAUAGGGGUUCUGAGAGGAAGGUCCCCCACAUUGGAACUGAGACACGGUCCAAACUCCUACGGGAGGCAGCAGUGAGGAAUAUUGGUCAAUGGACGAGAGUCUGAACCAGCCAAGUAGCGUGCAGGAUGACGGCCCUAUGGGUUGUAAACUGCUUUAUAAGGGAAUAAAGUGGGAGUCGUGACUCUUUUUGCAUGUACCUUAUGGAUAAGGACCGGCUAAUUCCGUG
RNAcentral lists this ribosomal RNA (485 nucleotides) under uncultured bacterium. Its description in RNAcentral is "bacterial SSU rRNA". It matches the Rfam family "Bacterial small subunit ribosomal RNA", at positions 28 to 507 of the family's 1533-position model. The record is from RNAcentral.